This 64-nucleotide transfer RNA is filed under the name Lype phaeopa. Its description in RNAcentral is "tRNA-Ala". Lineage: Eukaryota; Metazoa; Arthropoda; Insecta; Trichoptera; Psychomyiidae. The record is from RNAcentral.
AGGAUUAUAGUUUAUUUAAAACAAUUGAUUUGCAUUCAAAAAUUAUUAUUAUUAAUUUAUCUUA